GGAAUAACGGUUUAAUGAGACACGAUGGCAAUGAUUCUCAAAUGGUAGAUUUCGGUUCAGAAAUAACACCAGUUGUGUCUUCUGAAAUACACAAUGUCUCCUUGUUGUAUGAAGGUCUCAUAGAAGAGUAUUGUGUUGGUUUUCGCUGGUAGAUUCUGAUUUGAAUAAUGCACCAAAUGUUCCGUCUGAGAUAGUAAAUGUAUUGUUGUUGUUAGAUAAAGAACUUAAAUGUGUUCAUACAUUUGGUUUUGAAGAUUUACUGGCAAACGAUUUUGAAUCGAAAUAUACUUUUUCAUUGUCGAGGGAAAAACGUGAUUUUUUAACUUGAAAAUUAAAAAUAUUGAGCCAGGAGUUGUGUCAGAAAAAUUGGCCUUUGCACUAUUUACAAAUGUGAUGAAAAAUGGUACAGUAGUGUGUGUAAUGUCGUUGAUAUUGAUGAUAACGGAGAAGAAGUAUUUAUGAUUACUUUCUUUGAUUGGGGUGAAAGAUUCACUGUAAAAGCCUGUAACAUACGCCGGACUCAAAAAAGUUUUAUAAGAUAUGCAGCUUUAACAAUUAAUUGAACUUUCAAUGGUAAAACUAUUUGUUGUACUAAAAGUAAUUUUUUCACUUGUUCUAUUGGU
Molecule: long non-coding RNA, 623 nt
Organism: Daktulosphaira vitifoliae (grape phylloxera)
Lineage: Eukaryota; Metazoa; Arthropoda; Insecta; Hemiptera; Phylloxeridae
Exons: 3
Source: RefSeq, a predicted model, not a curated record